This 216-nucleotide ribosomal RNA is filed under the name Glomeromycotina sp. RNAcentral's name for it is "partial small subunit ribosomal RNA". The stretch from base 40 to 216 matches the Rfam family "Eukaryotic small subunit ribosomal RNA", at positions 686 to 864 of the family's 1831-position model. Lineage: Eukaryota; Fungi; Glomeromycota. The record is from RNAcentral.
GGGUCAGUAGGUUGGUCGUGCCACCGGUACGUACUGGUCUCACUGCUUCCUCCUUCCUGAAGAACCGUAAUGCCAUUAAUUUGGUGUUGCGGGGAAACAGGACUGUUACUUUGAAAAAAUUAGAGUGUUUAAAGCAAGCUAACGCUUGAAUACAUUAGCAUGGAAUAAUGGAAUAGGACGAUCGAUCCUAUUUUGUUGGUUUCUAGGAUUGACGUA